This 2980-nucleotide long non-coding RNA is filed under the name Amborella trichopoda. RNAcentral's name for it is "long non-coding RNA (ATRI_LNC002862)". The record is from RNAcentral. Lineage: Eukaryota; Viridiplantae; Streptophyta; Magnoliopsida; Amborellales; Amborellaceae.
CAAGGUCACCUGAGAGAGGUGACAAACUGAAACAAACAACCUAGGUUACUACGAAAAUUAAAGCUUUAUUUUGAAGUUUUUAAUUUUAAUGGCCAUGCACAAUAAUAGAAUCUUCUCACAUAUUGCAAAAUUCUAUGUUCACUUUCAACUGAUUACUAUUUGCAAUUCAUAUUGCACUCUCAAAACAUCCAAAGAAGCAUUUGUUUCUCCUAGGUUUUAAACCAUCGUGUCCUGUUGCAAUCAAGUUUGCUCUGUCCUAUAAUUUUUCCGUAUUCAUAUCAUCUAUAUAUAUCUGCCUCUCCUGCUUGAUGAUUCUUGCAUCCAUCUCAAAGUUCUUGCACCUAUUGAUUUUCCUUUCUAACUCAGCUCCCUGGAUAAUUGGACACAUAAUAGAUCAUCCUUUUCUGAACAACUGUAUUAACCUCUCUCAAAGUUAAAAGGAAACCAUGACAUUUUACCUGCGUCACACCAAACCAUAAUGGCAAACCGGAUCUGCAUACAGUCUUCUGUUAUCGAUAAGAUGGCAUUUGCCUCCAUCCACAUGGAUCUUGCCAUUAGAAGGGAGACCCCUGCAUGAUGGUAAUUGACUCAUUCAAUUUUACGUAAAACAUUUUUGAUUUUUUUCUUUUCUAAUUUAAAAAAAUUGGAAUGUUAUCUAGAUGUCUGUCAUUAUAGGAGCAGAUACUAAGGUUGAUAGGUGAUAUUGGGAUCUAAGGCUGGUUUUUGGGCUUUCAAUGUGUGAUGCUGUCGGAUUAUUUGGAUUGUGCUUGGAUUAUAGAAGUUGCAGAUUUGGGCACUAAAGUAGCAUAUUAUGGGCAUCUGUUCGCUGCUAUAUCAGGGUUUCUGUUAAGGAAUUUGAACUGUACAUGGUAGAAGAUGCAUGCUUUAACAUUUAACUGGAUGGGUGGUGUAGAGAUGGUCCCCAUAACAUGCGCCCAUGGCAAGGAAUAUGGGUCCGAGAGUGAAGUGAUUUCUUGAGGUUGAAGUGCAGAUCAUGGAUUCUGCCCUUGCUAUUGGAUUUUGACAAAAGAGAUGAGUGAUGAGACCCUCAGCCCUCAAUAUACCUCCCAGUGUUUAUCUUAUUGAAGGCAAAAAGAAAGGAAAUAUUAGUUUGGGAGGUUUGGAGAGAAACAUUUGUGAAAAGAAGAUCCUAAAUUUUUGUCUAGUUUUGGGCUUUCGAAAUAGGCUGCUAUUGGAGGUUGCCCCGUAAAUGCGGAUUGCAAUUGCACAUCCAGUCUGUUUUCAGGGAGGUAGAAGUAGUCCCUGUGGUUAAUUAGGUGAUGUCGGUUCACUUCAAGGAUGGGUUUAGAAUGAUUCUUUGUACAUGGCAUUGAGCCAAAAGAAACAAGUUGGUAGUGGAUGUGCUUCUUUGACUGUCAACAAAUACUUGCAAACCUUGAGAUUACAGCAAGACCUCCCCAGCCCGAUGUCCUCGAGUGUUCAAGUUUGUGCUUGUUUUUAUAGGCUACAAUUUUGAGACAUUCGUGAUUUUAAUACUUCCCUUUUAUUCACAAAACAAACAAAAAAAGAGAAGGGGGGGGGGGGGUAUGUGUUAAGCUUUUUAAAGCAAGGGUAGUCAUGUAAUUUUGCAUUAACAUGGUGUAUUAAGAUGCUAUCUUUAAGCAUAUAAACUAAAACUGGUAUAUGUAUCCAAUCUUCUCCAAAAGUAAACCCUCUAAGCCAACCUUUUCUUUGGAUUACAAUUAUUCAUCGCAGUUUUAGGAAGUUAUCUAUAGAUUUUUUCCUAUUUUGAAUACAAAUUCUCUCUAAAAAUUAUGCCAAAUACUAUAAAUUUUCAGACAUCCAAUUUCUAUAUUCUUUCUAUGUAAAUUUUGUAUCAGUUAUGAGAUUUGAGAGGUUAUCUGUUUGGUAAAUGGGAAACAAACUGUUAGGAAGGAUUUGUAUCAGAUUUGAGAGGAUCUUUUGAGAGGUAUUAUUAUAUUAUUAUCAUUAUUAUUUUAUAAUCAGGAUGCUAGUAUAGCCAGGUCGAGUUUUUCUUUUGUAUUCUUUCUCUGUUUCUCUUUUUUUUUUUUCGUUACAUGGGGUGGUUAGCAUAUUUCAUAUUUAGCAGUUUCGUGGAUCUCCGAAUGGAUUUCAUCAGGCAUCUAAGUCCUGACGUCAGACCUCUUACUGACUGAUUUUCCUCCUCACAAGAGUCUUAUAUACUUUGAUGGCUGUCCCAAAAGGGAUCAAUGGAUGCCCAGACUCUGGAGAUCAUUGAAGGUGAAUGGAGAGAUAUCUUUCGGUAUUAUACAUCACCUUCUAGGUUCCGGGCUUUGCUUGGUUCUUUUUGAGUAGCCUGCUUAAAUGGCUUACCUUGUAGUUGUCUUUGGCAGGUAACAGGAGAUCGAACCCCAGGCUACAAUGUUGCAGCCCUUAGUCAAGAGACCCAACCCCUAAUUGUUAUGUAAGUGUUGUUCGUCGAAUUUUUGUUGUGCCAGGUAUAUUAGGGCAUCAACUCUCUGGGGUAAAGCCAGAAAUUCAGGUGACUAGGAGAUGAAGGAUAUAUCUUUUGUGAAUUUAAAACCAAGCCUUCUCAUUGAUUGCACCAUUUUGUGUCCUUUUCAUCAGCUAUGCCCUAUCAACCAUUUUAUCAGUCAAAUAGCCCUUUUUUAAUAGGCAAGGAAAAGGAAAUGCAUAAAUCUGAUAAAUUUACAUACUUUAAAUAUUGGCAGAGUGUGAGUAGCCCUGAGACAAUCACAUUCCCUCCUUUGUGGUCUCUAUUGUCAGCAUCUUCGCCAUGACCUGAAAAUUUUAACCAGAUGCCCGGGAUUGUCUAUGUUAGAGAAGCCAAUGAUUCAGUGACCAAUAUAAUUAAGAUUAACAUAGAAACUUUAGGAAGGUAAGAAACAUUACCAGUAAAGAAAAGGUAAAUAAGAAGCAUUGUUGAGGCCUGAAACCAAGGAGAAGCAAGCAUUUUCAUAAAAACUAGGAGCAAGGAGAGAUAAUUGGAAGCUCUUACAAUGGCUUUGGCCUAUAU